UGAUUUCACUAGGGGAGCCUGUUGGCUGAGACGAAAAUGGAUUUUCGGACCCUUGGAACCUGAUCUGGAUUAUACUAGCGGAGGGAAGUGGAGGCUGAAUUUU
RNAcentral lists this non-coding RNA (103 nucleotides) under Paenibacillus sp. Its description in RNAcentral is "TPP sequence". It matches the Rfam family "TPP riboswitch aptamer (THI element)". Rfam says of the family: Vitamin B(1) in its active form thiamin pyrophosphate (TPP) is an essential coenzyme that is synthesised by coupling of pyrimidine and thiazole moieties in bacteria. The previously detected thiamin-regulatory element, thi box was extended, resulting in a new, highly conserved RNA secondary structure, the THI element, which is widely distributed in eubacteria and also occurs in some archaea. The record is from RNAcentral. Lineage: Bacteria; Bacillati; Bacillota; Bacilli; Caryophanales; Paenibacillaceae. RNAcentral also lists the same sequence under 1 other name.